ACGAACGCUGGCGGCGUGCUUAACACAUGCAAGUCGAACGGAAAGGCCCUGCUUUUGUGGGGUGCUCGAGUGGCGAACGGGUGAGUAACACGUGAGUAACCUGCCCUUGACUUUGGGAUAACUUCAGGAAACUGGGGCUAAUACCGGAUAGGAGCUCCUGCUGCAUGGUGGGGGUUGGAAAGUUUCGGCGGUUGGGGAUGGACUCGCGGCUUAUCAGCUUGUUGGUGGGGUAGUGGCUUACCAAGGCUUUGACGGGUAGCCGGCCUGAGAGGGUGACCGGCCACAUUGGGACUGAGAUACGGCCCAGACUCCUACGGGAGGCAGCAGUGGGGAAUAUUGCACAAUGGGCGGAAGCCUGAUGCAGCAACGCCGCGUGCGGGAUGACGGCCCUCGGGUUGUAAACCGCUUUCGCCUGUGACGAAGCGUGAGUGACGGUAAUGGGUAAAGAAGCACCGGCUAACUACGUG
RNAcentral lists this ribosomal RNA (467 nucleotides) under uncultured bacterium. RNAcentral's name for it is "partial 16S ribosomal RNA". It matches the Rfam family "Bacterial small subunit ribosomal RNA", at positions 29 to 507 of the family's 1533-position model. The record is from RNAcentral.